AACUAUCUAAUAUAAAUGAGAUUAGAUAAAGUCAAGUGAGAGAUUGUUAGAAUCAAACUCCAUAAAGGUGACUUUUCUAAUCAGAUGGGAUAUUAAUAUAAUUAUAAAUGAUUUGUGGUAUUAAGGUUCACUAAGGGUAAAAUAAUUAUAUGGUUAUAGAACAUAUUAUAUAAAGGACUACCCCUAUUUAUUUCAACGCAACAGAAUGACAUAACUCAUACGGAGAUACUUGAUCCAUAAGAGAGAGUUUCUUAUUGUGGGGAUUGAUAAUGCUUAGAAGAAAAGAUAUUUGGAUGUUCGUCAUUUUUGCUGUUGAGAAAACCACAAACAUACAGAUGAC
RNAcentral lists this long non-coding RNA (340 nucleotides) under Spirodela polyrhiza (greater duckweed). Its description in RNAcentral is "long non-coding RNA (SPOL_LNC001749)". Lineage: Eukaryota; Viridiplantae; Streptophyta; Magnoliopsida; Alismatales; Araceae. The record is from RNAcentral.